CGGGUGAGUAAUACAUCGGAACGUGUCUUCUAGUGGGGGAUAACUGCCCGAAAGGGCAGCUAAUACCGCAUGAGACCUGAGGGUGAAAGCGGGGGAUCGCAAGACCUCGCGCUGGAAGAGCGGCCGAUGUCCGAUUAGCUAGUUGGUGAGGUAAAGGCUCACCAAGGCGACGAUCGGUAGCUGGUCUGAGAGGACGACCAGCCACACUGGGACUGAGACACGACCCAG
RNAcentral lists this ribosomal RNA (228 nucleotides) under uncultured bacterium. RNAcentral describes it as "partial 16S ribosomal RNA". It matches the Rfam family "Bacterial small subunit ribosomal RNA", at positions 103 to 334 of the family's 1533-position model. The record is from RNAcentral.